Molecule: long non-coding RNA, 524 nt
Filed under: Hordeum vulgare
Lineage: Eukaryota; Viridiplantae; Streptophyta; Magnoliopsida; Poales; Poaceae
Description: long non-coding RNA (HVUL_LNC014466)
Source: RNAcentral
GAGAGAGAGAGCAAUAGUGCAUAGCCCAUCCGGCCUAACAUUAAAGGACCCAUUUAUGUACCCUGGAUUUGAGACGGACGGCAAAGCUGAGUAUUUUGCCUCCAUCCAUAGCUAAACAGAAAAUGUUGGCGCAUCUCCUAAUCGACGCUCAUGUCAAAGUGCCGAGGAGAAUCCUAAAAAUGCAGGCAUUUGAGGAAGUAUCAACCAUUGGUGUUGGCAGUAAGCCUUGAUCAGUCCAUUUAGUGAUAAAUCUCCUGGAUAGGUCAGAGCGGCUGAGGGUCCUCGGCGUAAGAUUGGAAAAAUAAGCUGUCGGGCACACAAAACAUUCAAAAAUGGAAAGAUUGGAAACAACACGCAAAUAUGGCGAAUUUGAAGAUCAAAAGCAGAACAUGUGGUAUUCUAAGGUCUUACCAGCUCGCUGCCACCGGUGUCGUAUUUGCCAUGAAGUUGCAAGGAACACCACUGCAUUAUAACGUAUCCAGAGAUGAGUAAAGACUCAUAUGCUCCGUGAAACUCAACUUUAU